Molecule: ribosomal RNA, 2219 nt
Filed under: Klebsiella pneumoniae
Lineage: Bacteria; Pseudomonadati; Pseudomonadota; Gammaproteobacteria; Enterobacterales; Enterobacteriaceae
Description: partial 23S ribosomal RNA
Rfam family: Bacterial large subunit ribosomal RNA
Source: RNAcentral
GGGUUGUGAGGUUAAGCGACUAAGCGUACACGGUGGAUGCCCUGGCAGUCAGAGGCGAUGAAGGACGUGCUAAUCUGCGAAAAGCGUCGGUAAGGUGAUAUGAACCGUUAUAACCGGCGAUGUCCGAAUGGGGAAACCCAGUGCAAUUCGUUGCACUAUCGUUAACUGAAUACAUAGGUUAACGAGGCGAACCGGGGGAACUGAAACAUCUAAGUACCCCGAGGAAAAGAAAUCAACCGAGAUUCCCCCAGUAGCGGCGAGCGAACGGGGAGCAGCCCAGAGUCUGAAUCAGCUUGUGUGUUAGUGGAACGGUCUGGAAAGUCCGACGGUACAGGGUGAUAGUCCCGUACACCAAAAUGCACAGGCUGUGAACUCGAAGAGUAGGGCGGGACACGUGGUAUCCUGUCUGAAUAUGGGGGGACCAUCCUCCAAGGCUAAAUACUCCUGACUGACCGAUAGUGAACCAGUACCGUGAGGGAAAGGCGAAAAGAACCCCGGCGAGGGGAGUGAAAAAGAACCUGAAACCGUGUACGUACAAGCAGUGGGAGCACCUUCGGGUGUGACUGCGUACCUUUUGUAUAAUGGGUCAGCGACUUAUAUUCUGUAGCAAGGUUAACCGUAUAGGGGAGCCGCAGGGAAACCGAGUCUUAACUGGGCGUUAAGUUGCAGGGUAUAGACCCGAAACCCGGUGAUCUAGCCAUGGGCAGGUUGAAGGUUGGGUAACACUAACUGGAGGACCGAACCGACUAAUGUUGAAAAAUUAGCGGAUGACUUGUGGCUGGGGGUGAAAGGCCAAUCAAACCGGGAGAUAGCUGGUUCUCCCCGAAAGCUAUUUAGGUAGCGCCUCGUGAACUCAUCUUCGGGGGUAGAGCACUGUUUCGGCUAGGGGGUCAUCCCGACUUACCAACCCGAUGCAAACUACGAAUACCGAAGAAUGUUAUCACGGGAGACACACGGCGGGUGCUAACGUCCGUCGUGAAGAGGGAAACAACCCAGACCGCCAGCUAAGGUCCCAAAGUCAUGGUUAAGUGGGAAACGAUGUGGGAAGGCACAGACAGCCAGGAUGUUGGCUUAGAAGCAGCCAUCAUUUAAAGAAAGCGUAAUAGCUCACUGGUCGAGUCGGCCUGCGCGGAAGAUGUAACGGGGCUAAACCAUGCACCGAAGCUGCGGCAGCGACACUAUGUGUUGUUGGGUAGGGGAGCGUUCUGUAAGCCUGCGAAGGUGUGCUGUGAGGCAUGCUGGAGGUAUCAGAAGUGCGAAUGCUGACAUAAGUAACGAUAAAGCGGGUGAAAAGCCCGCUCGCCGGAAGACCAAGGGUUCCUGUCCAACGUUAAUCGGGGCAGGGUGAGUCGACCCCUAAGGCGAGGCCGAAAGGCGUAGUCGAUGGGAAACAGGUUAAUAUUCCUGUACUUGGUGUUACUGCGAAGGGGGGACGGAGAAGGCUAUGUUAGCCGGGCGACGGUUGUCCCGGUUUAAGCAUGUAGGCUGGUUGUCCAGGCAAAUCCGGAUAAUCAAGGCUGAGGUGUGAUGACGAGGCACUACGGUGCUGAAGUAACAAAUGCCCUGCUUCCAGGAAAAGCCUCUAAGCAUCAGGUAACAUCAAAUCGUACCCCAAACCGACACAGGUGGUCAGGUAGAGAAUACCAAGGCGCUUGAGAGAACUCGGGUGAAGGAACUAGGCAAAAUGGUGCCGUAACUUCGGGAGAAGGCACGCUGGUGUGUAGGUGAAGCCCCUGCGGGUGGAGCUGAGACCAGUCGAAGAUACCAGCUGGCUGCAACUGUUUAUUAAAAACACAGCACUGUGCAAACACGAAAGUGGACGUAUACGGUGUGACGCCUGCCCGGUGCCGGAAGGUUAAUUGAUGGGGUUAUCCGUAAGGAGAAGCUCUUGAUCGAAGCCCCGGUAAACGGCGGCCGUAACUAUAACGGUCCUAAGGUAGCGAAAUUCCUUGUCGGGUAAGUUCCGACCUGCACGAAUGGCGUAAUGAUGGCCAGGCUGUCUCCACCCGAGACUCAGUGAAAUUGAACUCGCUGUGAAGAUGCAGUGUACCCGCGGCAAGACGGAAAGACCCCGUGAACCUUUACUAUAGCUUGACACUGAACAUUGAGCCUUGAUGUGUAGAAAACGUUGGACGCAUUAAAAAUAAAAAAAAAAUCUGCGUGGAGCCAACCUUGAAAUACCACCCUUUAAUGUUUGAUGUUCUAACGUUGGCCCCUUG